This 301-nucleotide ribosomal RNA is filed under the name uncultured bacterium. RNAcentral's name for it is "partial 16S ribosomal RNA". It matches the Rfam family "Bacterial small subunit ribosomal RNA", at positions 509 to 808 of the family's 1533-position model. The record is from RNAcentral.
CAGUCGCCGCGGUAAUACGUAGGUGGCAAGCGUUGCCCGGAAUUAUUGGGCGUAAAGCGCGCGCAGGUGGUUUAAUAAGUCUGAUGUGAAAGCCCACGGCUCAACCGUGGAGGUCAUUGGAAACUGUUAAACUUGAGUGCAGGAGAGAAAAGUGGAAUUCCUAGUGUAGCGGUGAAAUGCGUAGAUAUUGGGAGGAACACCGGCGGCGAAGGCGGCUAACUGGACGACAACUGACGUUGAGGCUCGAAGGCGUGGGUAGCAAACAGGAUUAGAUACCCCAGUAGUCCCUGUCUCUUAUACA